GAUGAAGAACGCAGCGAAACGCGAUAAGUAAUGUGAAUUGCAGAAUCCAGUGAAUCAUCGAAUCUUUGAACGCACAUUGCGCCCGCCAGUAUUCUGGCGGGCAUGCCUGUUCGAGCGUCAUUUCAACCCUCGACCUCCCCUUGGGGAGGUCGGCGUUGGGGACCGGCAGCACACCGCCGGCCCUGAAAUGGAGUGGCGGCCCGUCCGCGGCGACCUCUGCGCAGUAAUACAGCUCGCACCGGGACCCCGACGCGGCCACGCCGUAAAACACCCAACUUCUGAACGUUGACCUCGAAUCAGGUAGGACUACCCGCUGAACUUAAGCAUAUCAAUAAGCGGAGGA
RNAcentral lists this unclassified non-coding RNA (343 nucleotides) under soil metagenome. RNAcentral describes it as "partial contains 5.8S ribosomal RNA, internal transcribed spacer 2, and large subunit ribosomal RNA". The stretch from base 1 to 120 matches the Rfam family "5.8S ribosomal RNA", at positions 35 to 154 of the family's 154-position model. The record is from RNAcentral.